This 110-nucleotide ribosomal RNA is filed under the name Gemmataceae bacterium. Lineage: Bacteria; Pseudomonadati; Planctomycetota; Planctomycetia; Gemmatales; Gemmataceae. The record is from RNAcentral.
CCCGGUGACCAUACCUGGGGGGAAACACCCGUUCCCAUCCCGAACACGGCCGUUAAGCCCCCAGGGCCGAUGAUAGUGGCUACCGCCGCGAAAGUAGGUUAUCGCCGGGU